CCCGAUCCCCCCCGAUCCCGAUCCUGAUCCCCGUCCCCUUCCCCCGUCCCGGCCGCACCAUGGACUGUUACACGGCCAACUGGUACCCGCUGGGCGAGGAGGCCUUUUACCGGAAGCUGGAGCUGUACUCCAUGGAAUGGGGGCUGCGGGAGGACCUGCGGGACUGUGUGGUGGCCGCUGCCCCGUACGGGGGGCCCAUAGCCCUGCUGAGGAAUUCCCGCAGGGACAAGGCCCCCAGCUCC
Neopelma chrysocephalum (saffron-crested tyrant-manakin) is the source of this 242-nucleotide long non-coding RNA. RefSeq lists it as uncharacterized. Lineage: Eukaryota; Metazoa; Chordata; Aves; Passeriformes; Pipridae. The record is from RefSeq and is a predicted model, not a curated record. The transcript is spliced from 3 exons.